UGCAGCGGACCACUGCUGCGACGGAGGCUUUCUACCUCAUGCUUGCAUUUGUGUUUGACGAGUUGCAUUUCCGCAGAUGCGAGUGGAAGUGCAAUGACUUGAACGUCCCGUCAAAACGUGCCGCGACGCGGCUAGGGUUUCUCUUUGAGGGGGUUUUCAGGAAGCAUAUGAUUGUGAAAGGGCGCAACCGCGACUCGGCGUGGUUUUCGAUUGUUGAUGAGGAGUGGAAGGGAGAGGUUAAGGGGGCUCUUGAAAAGUGGCUGGAUGCUGACAAUUUUGAUGCUGAGGGCAGACAGAAGAAGGAUCUGGUGAGUAUUAGACUGGGG
This 326-nucleotide small RNA is filed under the name Histoplasma capsulatum var. duboisii H88. RNAcentral's name for it is "Histoplasma capsulatum H88 hypothetical RNA". The record is from RNAcentral. Lineage: Eukaryota; Fungi; Ascomycota; Eurotiomycetes; Onygenales; Ajellomycetaceae.